Molecule: ribosomal RNA, 1571 nt
Filed under: Salmonella enterica subsp. enterica serovar Braenderup
Lineage: Bacteria; Pseudomonadati; Pseudomonadota; Gammaproteobacteria; Enterobacterales; Enterobacteriaceae
Description: partial 23S ribosomal RNA
Rfam family: Bacterial large subunit ribosomal RNA
Source: RNAcentral
UCGGGUGUGACUGCGUACCUUUUGUAUAAUGGGUCAGCGACUUAUAUUCUGUAGCAAGGUUAACCGUAUAGGGGAGCCGGAGGGAAACCGAGUCUUAAUUGGGCGUUAAGUUGCAGGGUAUAGACCCGAAACCCGGUGAUCUAGCCAUGGGCAGGUUGAAGGUUGGGUAACACUAACUGGAGGACCGAACCGACUAAUGUUGAAAAAUUAGCGGAUGACCUGUGGCUGGGGGUGAAAGGCCAAUCAAACCGGGAGAUAGCUGGUUCUCCCCGAAAGCUAUUUAGGUAGCGCCUCGUGAAUUCAUCUCCGGGGGUAGAGCACUGUUUCGGCUAGGGGGCCAUCCCGGCUUACCAACCCGAUGCAAACUGCGAAUACCGGAGAAUGUUAUCACGGGAGACACACGGCGGGUGCUAACGUCCGUCGUGAAGAGGGAAACAACCCAGACCGCCAGCUAAGGUCCCAAAGUCAUGGUUAAGUGGGAAACGAUGUGGGAAGGCCCAGACAGCCAGGAUGUUGGCUUAGAAGCAGCCAUCAUUUAAAGAAAGCGUAAUAGCUCACUGGUCGAGUCGGCCUGCGCGGAAGAUGUAACGGGGCUAAACCAUGCACCGAAGCUGCGGCAGCGACGCUUAUGCGUUGUUGGGUAGGGGAGCGUUCUGUAAGCCUGCGAAGGUGGCCUGUGAGGGUUGCUGGAGGUAUCAGAAGUGCGAAUGCUGACAUAAGUAACGAUAAAGCGGGUGAAAAGCCCGCUCGCCGGAAGACCAAGGGUUCCUGUCCAACGUUAAUCGGGGCAGGGUGAGUCGACCCCUAAGGCGAGGCCGAAAGGCGUAGUCGAUGGGAAACGGGUUAAUAUUCCCGUACUUGGUGUUACUGCGAAGGGGGGACGGAGAAGGCUAUGUUGGCCGGGCGACGGUUGUCCCGGUUUAAGCGUGUAGGUGUGUGUUCCAGGUAAAUCCGGUUCACUUUAACACUGAGGCGUGACGACGAGGCACUACGGUGCUGAAGCAACAAAUGCCCUGCUUCCAGGAAAAGCCUCUAAGCAUCAGGUAACAUCAAAUCGUACCCCAAACCGACACAGGUGGUCAGGUAGAGAAUACCAAGGCGCUUGAGAGAACUCGGGUGAAGGAACUAGGCAAAAUGGUGCCGUAACUUCGGGAGAAGGCACGCUGACACGUAGGUGAAGUGAUUUACUCAUGGAGCUGAAGUCAGUCGAAGAUACCAGCUGGCUGCAACUGUUUAUUAAAAACACAGCACUGUGCAAACACGAAAGUGGACGUAUACGGUGUGACGCCUGCCCGGUGCCGGAAGGUUAAUUGAUGGGGUCAGCGCAAGCGAAGCUCCUGAUCGAAGCCCCGGUAAACGGCGGCCGUAACUAUAACGGUCCUAAGGUAGCGAAAUUCCUUGUCGGGUAAGUUCCGACCUGCACGAAUGGCGUAAUGAUGGCCAGGCUGUCUCCACCCGAGACUCAGUGAAAUUGAACUCGCUGUGAAGAUGCAGUGUACCCGCGGCAAGACGGAAAGACCCCGUGAACCUUUACUAUAGCUUGACACUGAACAUUGAGCCUUGAUGUGUAG